Molecule: small RNA, 2370 nt
Filed under: Histoplasma capsulatum
Lineage: Eukaryota; Fungi; Ascomycota; Eurotiomycetes; Onygenales; Ajellomycetaceae
Also listed under: 1 other name
Description: hypothetical RNA
Source: RNAcentral
CAAAAAGCGAUGACAUUUUCUGAUAUUACGCUAGGCUUAGAGUGGUUUAGUGACCUCUAUAUCUCCAGGCAAAAAUCAUUUUGAGAGAAGAAAUGGCACUUUUAUUCUCUAACACCGUCGAUACAACUGCAAAUGAACUAGUCAGCAGAACUUAAUAACAUAGCUAUUCCAAGCUGGCUAUCACAUCUGCCGGCACAUUUUUAUGUAUUUUCCAUUGGCUGUCAUUGUUGAAUAUACUAUGAACCAAAUGACCAGAUGAGCUUGUUAUCAAUUUGGAUCCCUAUCCCCAAGGUGCGAAAAUCACUAGCUUUUCUCCUAACAUACGCCUCGGUGGAUUCCUUUCCAGUGAUGCGUUUUGUUUCCUCCCUUUGAACCCUUUUCUUUCCCUACGUGACUAUGUCUCGAGAGCAUACGCUGUCUCGCGAUUGAGGUUGGGCCUGUUUGAAGCGCUGCCACAUCAACCGGCUCUGAGGCCAUGAGCCUCUCGGUAACAGCCACGAUGUCUGCUACAAGUCUGUCGAUGAGAUCGGCAGACAUACUUUCACGUACAACUAUCCGCAGGGUUUCAGUCUUAUCCUCCACCGGUGGAAGUGGGUAAUCUAUGUUGUGGUCACCGUUGUUAGCUUUGCGCUCCCCAAUAUACCUUGCAGUUCAUAAUUCACAAGGACACGUGAACGAGGCAGUAUCAGUGACAUACUUGGGAUGAUAUACUGCUUCGCACGAAGCAAUAAACUGACGCUCUCCUGCUUCACAUCCGGGUACUUUUGCUGAACCUCAUCAGAAAACCUAAAAGACACUACGGGCAAACCUGCAUUAUAGUCCGCCGAUGUUUCGCCUUCCUGAUAUUUCAGCAACCCGUUGGUCUGCUCAACCUUUGAGCUACCUUUUUUCCGAUGGAUGCCGCUGAUGCAUAGGAACCAGCCCGUGUUCUCGAGCGCAGUGCUUAACAAUCGAGCAUUUGCUAGGCAAUUCUCCAUGAUUUCUCGGUACCCGUUGAAGCCAAGGCGUAUAAAAUUGUAAUACUGUCCUACCACCUGCAUUCCAGGCCGGGAGAAAUUCAGGGUAAACGUCUCUUCUGUCCCACCAAGAUAAUGGAGCUCAAAAAUAAGGUCGCUUGGAGAUACGCCCUAUCCCGCCAUACGAUCCAACCAAGGCCCGCGUAUACCAAGCCGAAUUUAUGACCAGAUGUAUUAAUGGAUUUCACACGAGGAAGUGCAAAGUCCCUAUAAGUUUAUUAGCUGACGGUUUUUGUGCUGGCUGCCAGAGAUAAUCACCAUUUAGGACCUCCAGCCUGAGCGUAAGUGAAUGGCGCAACAAAGCCCCCACUUGCACCAUCGACGUGAAUAGGCACAUCUAUACCAGUCUUCGCUUCGAAUUCAUCCAAAAUGCUUGAGAUCUCUUCCACUGGUUCGUAGUGGCCGGUGUAUGUACUGCCCAUAAUAACGAAGACACCGAUUGUAUUCUCGUCUAAAUUCUUCUUGACAAGGUCUGGAUCAAGCCGAUACUCGCUUUUCUGAGAGACGUCUAAAAUCCGGGCCUCAACGUCGAAGUACCUAGCGAACUUAAGCAGUGCAACCUGUGCGUUCGCGCCCAUGAUGAUGUUUGGCUUCGAGGUGUCUUUUCCCGUCGCUUUCCUUUUCUCCUGCCAGCGUUUUUUCAUUGCCAACCCACCAAGGAGGAUAGCUUCCGAAGAUCCAGUCGUUGCAGAUCCAAUCGCGUGCUCUCCUGGUUGCGCGUGCCAGAGAUUAGAUAUCAUUGAGACGCAAUGAGCAUGCAUCUCCAUCAAGGCCGGGUAUUCAUCGGCAUCAGCCAAAUUUUUACUGAUAUUCUCGAACAGAAGCUCGUCAGCUUCACGUUCCAUGUAAGUGCCGACGAAACUACGAACAUUUAACAUCUUUGUUAGUAUCAUAUUUGCCGAAUCACCGAGAAAUUUGUCUCAGACGGAUCGCAGAGGUGGUCUUGGUCAAUGUACAGUAUAUCACCGACCUAGCCAGGUUCAAAUUUGGAAUCCCAUCCAGAUCCAGAUCAUCCCUCAACAUCCUACGCACUGCCUCCGCCGGCGCACCCUUCUCGGGCAACUUGAAUUUAGGAAUUUCUUCAUGACUAGCAUAUCGUGUGGAGUACGGGGUCAUCGACCCGGAGACAUUCUCAGUCCAUAUGCGUUCACUUUUUCUACGCUUGGGGUCCUUGCGUAGAUCCUCGAUCAGUUGGUUGACGUCAACCUAUGCUCCUCAUUGAAAGCCGGUAGAUGUGAGCAGAAGUCAUUUGAAAAAUGUUCCAAAAACAAUGUCAAUAAAAUGGGGCAAAGCAGUUUGCGUGAAGAGGCAAUCCUCUCGACUUGGUCAUUUUGGUCUAGUUUUCACUCCGCGA